AAUAAGAUUCAUUAUUAUCAACAACAAAGGAUUAAGAGUAAUUCCUAAGGUAAUUAAUUUCUCUAAUCUUUAUCUUUUACACAACAAGAAAAUAAAAAAGAAAAAGAAAAACCCUUUAUAUCGAGGUGGUGCGUUUACAAACCCUACUCUGGAAAAGUCCUAAAUUCCUAAAGGCUGUACUUUCAACAAAGUCGACUGAAGAAGCAUCUGAGGCAUAGUGAAAAGAUCGGACUCUUCAAGCUACAAUCUUAUUCUCCUCUGUAUUGAAUCUCACCAUGGAAGCUCUCUUUACUUCAACACACAUCCCCAAUUUACAGACGAGGCCUCUCCUCAAAUCUUCGCUGCCCACUUCUUCCCAGUCUUCUUCGUGCUGGUUUUGUAGUUCGCUACCCAAAAGGCAAUUCUCGAAGCUGAGAAUCAGUAAUGGAUCAAGUCACGGGCUUCGUGNNNN
RNAcentral lists this long non-coding RNA (451 nucleotides) under Capsella grandiflora. RNAcentral's name for it is "long non-coding RNA (CGRA_LNC000101)". Lineage: Eukaryota; Viridiplantae; Streptophyta; Magnoliopsida; Brassicales; Brassicaceae. The record is from RNAcentral.